AGAGAAACAGGCGGCAGAACUCAGCUGGAGAAGAUUAGCAUUCCAUAAAGGAGAAGCCAACGUGACUCUGGAUCCAGCCACGGCGCAUCCCCAGCUCGUCCUGUCGGAAGGAGGGAAAUGUGCGAGACUGGGAAACACACGGCAGCCACUGCCUGACAUCCGGGAGAGAUUUGACUAUUGGUGCUGUGUGCUGGGCCGUGAGGGCUUCACCUCGGGGAGACAUUACUGGGAGGUGGGGGUGGGGAAUGGGCCAUGCUGGGCUGUGGGGGUAGCCAGAGAGUCUGUGAGCAGGAAGGGAGGGAUCAGCCUGAGCCCCGAGGGCGGGAUCUGGGCUGUAGGGCGGCGGUGGGGGGAUCAGUUCCAGGCUCUCACUGACCCUGUGACCCCCCUACCUCUGAGCCCCCCCAGCAGGAUCCGGGUUUGUCUGGACUGUGACCGGGGGCAGGUGACAUUUAUCGAUGCUGGAACCGAGGCCCCGAUCUUCACUUUCCCUCCGGGCUCCCUCCCUGGGGAGAGAAUCCGACCCUGGAUCUGGGUGGAGGACACAGACACCCAGCUCCGACUGUUUCCCUGACAACAGCCCCUCUGGCCUCACACACCCCAGACUCUGUGACCCUGGAGGACUCCCCGGUACCCUGCCCCUGGCUCCUCCUCUCUAUGGUUCCUGAAACCUUCUCCCCCUUCUUGCAGCAGUUGUAGGAGCAGAGUUGGGGGUUGAGCAGGGCUAAGAGCAGGCAGAGAUGGGAGCUGGGCAGAGUCCCACAUGCUGAGACCCCCGUCUCCAGGCCAAGGUGAUCUCUCUCUGGAGACACGCACAGGCCCGAGACUUUUCACACAAGUCCCACCCUGCAGUGCUCAGUCACUUCAGCACACAAAGCACAAGAGAGUUGCACAAAACGACCAAUCCAACAGCUCUGCCUCUCACUCUCCCGCCCCCGCCCCCUGCCUUGGGGGUUCUGGGGCCAGCUGGGCUCAGGAAAGCAGAUGGCCCUGGCGCCUGAAGCUGCUGCCUGCUGGGAACUUUGCUUUCCCCUGCAGAGCUGGAGACAAGGAGCAAGCUCCAGGCAGGGGCUGGGGUAUUGCAACGCUGAACGGUGCUGCCUGGAAUUGUAGCUGCCCAGAAAAUCCCUGGCAUGACGCUGUGAGCCCCCAGCCUGAGUGACGGGGGAUGGGAGUGUCUGGGACAAGCCAGCAGGCCCGGCAGGGAGCUGUCUAAGGUAGCCAGUGGGAGACGCUCACCAGAGGGGAAUUACAUGAGGAAUCCAGGCCCCUCUCAUCUCAGUUUGGGAUAAUGCUGGUUACCGAUACCGUGUAUUUUGCAAACUGUUUAAAUUGAUACUAGGAACUUCCCAGAAUUCAGGUGUGACCACAGAUGUACGGAGCCUUCCUUUGUCAACUGCGCACCCGGAACUUACCUGAAAUUUUUUCUUUAAUAAAUGUUCUUUGAGUGAUGUCACCGGGGGAGCUCCAGUGUGGUGUCGCGUCAUCCCAGCGCCACAGAUGGGAGUUUUCAUUUGCAGUAGUCAGCUGGACUGAUCAUGUACAGUGGGCGCCUCGUGCCAUUUGCGUGCACAAUC
This is a non-coding RNA of Pelodiscus sinensis (Chinese soft-shelled turtle), 1577 nucleotides long. The record is from RefSeq and is a predicted model, not a curated record. NCBI's taxonomy places the organism in Eukaryota, Metazoa, Chordata, Testudines, Trionychidae.